UCUUUAAUUUUAGGCUCACCUGUAGUGGAAUGUGAUUUAGUAGAUUCCUUGUCUACUUCUUGCUCAGCCUGUGCUGUCUAAACAUAGGAUGUGCUGCUCAGGUCCAUGUGCUUGCUUUCAUUGUUAGGGAGAAGCUGGCAGCUCUGAGGGAAGCAGGCUGAAGCCAAAUACUGAACUGCAUGCUGGAGGCUGCUGUUGACUGCAGAAGGAGUUGAAGUGACCAGCUGAGAGCAGCUUCUAGAUGGGUAAAGCCAGUAUUAAAGGCAGAAAUCAAAGCACAGGACCCAUGGGAAGCGACGUUUCAAAUGUACACCAUUGCUUUUCUUUGUCAUUGUUCUGAACUAUGCACCCUCUGCUCCUGACAGCACACCCACAACAAGAUAAGGAGUUUGGGUGUGCUUACGUGUCUUCUGUGGGAAGAUGAGCAGCGGCUUGCCAUGAAAACGGCUUGCCAUGGAAGAAGAUAUAAUGAAUGCAUCUUCUCUGCAUCAAGAAAAAGGCUACUCAAACUUAAGACAACAUUUUAAUCUCAGUCAAAAUGGGGCAUCUUCAACAUAAGGUUGUCUGCAGUCAUGGGGCACGUCUCAAACGUUAACAAACACCAUAUUUGGUGCUUCUUCCACUGCCCAAGAAUAUAACUUUAUCAAAAG
RNAcentral lists this long non-coding RNA (650 nucleotides) under Phasianus colchicus (ring-necked pheasant). RNAcentral describes it as "lncRNA (ENSPCLG00000022321.1)". The record is from RNAcentral. Lineage: Eukaryota; Metazoa; Chordata; Aves; Galliformes; Phasianidae.